UACGGAUUCGACAGGGGUAGUUUGAGCUUAGGUUGCGAGUCGAGGGGAUCGGCCUCGUUAAAACGUCAAAGCCAUAACUGGCAAAACUAACAACAACUUAGCUUUCGCAGCUUAAUAACUGCAUAGCUGUUCGCCCCUCCAUCGCCUAUGUGGUAGGGUAGCGGACUCACUCUUAGUAGGCUACGCCGGAGUCCACCGCCUGAGGACAAAGGAAGAGAACAACCAGGCUAGCUGACCGGACGCCUGUCGAUAGGCAGAUGGAUCAGCGAAGCGCGAAUAUGUCGACUACACUCGUAGAAGCUUAAGUGCCAAUAUCUUUGGACGCGGGUUCGAUUA
RNAcentral lists this transfer-messenger RNA (336 nucleotides) under Neobacillus citreus. It matches the Rfam family "transfer-messenger RNA". Rfam says of the family: Bacterial tmRNA, also known as 10Sa RNA or SsrA, is named for its dual tRNA and mRNA-like properties. Its role is to liberate the mRNA from a stalled ribosome. To accomplish this part of the tmRNA is used as a reading frame that ends in a translation stop signal. Lineage: Bacteria; Bacillati; Bacillota; Bacilli; Caryophanales; Bacillaceae. RNAcentral also lists the same sequence under 1 other name. The record is from RNAcentral.